Molecule: ribosomal RNA, 325 nt
Filed under: uncultured bacterium
Lineage: Bacteria
Description: partial 16S ribosomal RNA
Rfam family: Bacterial small subunit ribosomal RNA
Source: RNAcentral
CUAUGCGCCUUGCCAGCCCGCUCAGUCAGAGUUUGAUCCUGGCUCAGAGCGAACGCUGGCGGCAGGCUUAACACAUGCAAGUCGAACGGACCCUUCGGGGUUAGUGGCGGACGGGUGAGUAACACGUGGGAACGUGCCUUUAGGUUCGGAACAACACAGGGAAACUUGUGCUAAUACCGGAUGUGCCCUUCGGGGGAAAGAUUUAUCGCCUUUAGAGCGGCCCGCGUCUGAUUAGCUAGUUGGUGGGGUAAAGGCCUACCAAGGCGACGAUCAGUAGCUGGUCUGAGAGGAUGGCCAGCCACAUUGGGACUGAGACACGGCCCAA